CCUACGGGUGGCAGCAGUGGGGAAUAUUGCACAAUGGAGGGAACUCUGAUGCAGCGACGCCGCGUGAGUGAAGAAGGAAUUCGUUAUGUAAAGCUCUAUCAGUAGGGAAGAAAGUGACGGUACCUAAAAAAGAUGUUCCGGCUAAAUACGUGCCAGCAGCCGCGGUAAUACGUAUGGGGCAAGCGUUAUCCGGAUUUACUGGGUGUAAAGGGAGAGUAGGUGGACGAGCAAGUCCGAAGUGAAAACCCAAGGCUCAACCAUGGGAAUGCAUUAGAAACUGCUCAGCUAGAGUGCAGGAGAGGUGAGUGGAAUUCUUAGUGUAGCGGUGAAAUGCGUAGAUAUUAGGAAGAACACCAGUGGCGAAGGCGGCUUGCUGGACUGUAACUGACACUGAGGCUCGAAAGCGUGGGGAGCAAACAGGAUUAGAUACCCUGGUAGUC
Molecule: ribosomal RNA, 440 nt
Filed under: uncultured bacterium
Lineage: Bacteria
Description: partial 16S ribosomal RNA
Rfam family: Bacterial small subunit ribosomal RNA
Source: RNAcentral